This 272-nucleotide long non-coding RNA is filed under the name Elaeis guineensis (African oil palm). RNAcentral's name for it is "long non-coding RNA (EGUI_LNC073041)". The record is from RNAcentral. Lineage: Eukaryota; Viridiplantae; Streptophyta; Magnoliopsida; Arecales; Arecaceae.
GGUGCUGCGAAGCCAAUUUCCAUCAAGGCCAGGGGCUAAAUAAGGGAGAUCUCUAUUAUUUAUGAUUGAUGUAUUUGAACUUAAUCAAUCUAUAGGGACCAAUGUGGAUAACAUUAUGCAGGUUAGCUUUUCAAUGUUUCUUGUACUGUCACUCUGAUCGAACUCCUUAAGUGCAUAUCAACUAACCAAGACUCUUUGACCAUGCGAGGAAGUAUGCUUUCCAUAAACUAUACGAUUUGCUUGACUGAUUGAUAAAUUUUUGGUUCUUUUUC